ACGCACGCUGGCGGCGUGCUUAACACAUGCAAGUCGAACGGAAAGGCCCUGCUUUUGUGGGGUGCUCGAGUGGCGAACGGGUGAAUAACACGUGAGUAACCUGCCCUUGACUUUGGGAUAACUUCAGGAAACUGGGGCUAAUACCGGAUAGGAGCUCCUGCUGCAUGGUGGGGGUUGGAAAGUUUCGGCGGUUGGGGAUGGACUCGCGGCUUAUCAGCUUGUUGGUGGGGUAGUGGCUUACCAAGGCUUUGACGGGUAGCCGGCCUGAGAGGGUGACCGGCCACAUUGGGACUGAGAUACGGCCCAGACUCCUACGGGAGGCAGCAGUGGGGAAUAUUGCACAAUGGGCGGAAGCCUGAUGCAGCAACGCCGCGUGCGGGAUGACGGCCUUCGGGUUGUAAACCGCUUUCGCCUGUGACGAAGCGUGAGUGACGGUAAUGGGUAAAGAAGCACCGGCUAACUACGUG
Molecule: ribosomal RNA, 467 nt
Filed under: uncultured bacterium
Lineage: Bacteria
Description: partial 16S ribosomal RNA
Rfam family: Bacterial small subunit ribosomal RNA
Source: RNAcentral